AUUGUUGUAGUAAACACCAAAGUUCCCGGUUCUGGUGCUGAAUUAGUCCCUUAGCAAUAAUCUGCUAGGUGUUCUAGUCACUGACCUGCAUUCGUCCUCUAGUCCUAUUCUGGGGCCCUUAGUCUCUGUUAGGACUCAGUUGAAUCCUUCCCUCAUACCCAACAAAUUUGUAUGUUGGAGUCCUAACCCCCAGGACCUCAGAAUAUGGCUAUAUUUGGACACAGACCUUUAAUGAGAUAAUUGACUUACAUGAGGCCAUUAGAAUGGGCCUUAAUCCAGUAUGAACAGAGUCCUUAAGAGGAGAUUCGGACACAGAUGUGCACCAAGGGAAGACCCUGUGAAGAUACAGGGAGAAGACGGCGUCUGCAAGCCAAUGAGAGAGGCCUCAAAAGAAAUCAACCCCGCCAACAUCCUGAUCUCAGACCUCCAGCCUCCAAAACUUUCUGGAGUCUGGAAGUCCAAGAUGAAGGUGCCUGCAGAUUCGGUGUCUGUUGAGAACUUUCUUCCUGGUUUGUGGACGGCAGUCUUCUUGCUGCAUCCUCACAUGAUGGAGAGAGAGAGAGGGCUAUGACAGAAGAGAUGGAAGCAGAGGGAACACCCACAGCACAGGAUCAGUCAUCAGCAGUGCUCAGAACAAGGCCUCGGACUCUUCUCUCAAUUCAACUCUUCCAGCAACUCUCCUGUUUUCCCAUCUUGCUUGGAAGAGCGCAGACCAACGGGUAACACAGAUGAAAGCAAUGUUACCAUAAUACUCAGUAUUUAGAAUAAUACCUUUAUUCCAGGGUGCUCUGCAGACAUUACCUCAUUAAUCUUCAUAACAUCUUUAAGAAAGGAGGAGGGAAUAGUUUCUGCCCUCAUUUAAUGGAUGGCAUAGCAAUGGCUUAAGGCCAGGACAUGAUUCAGUGUCAUGGCUGAAACAAAGCCACAUUCCCCAAACCCUCAGGUCGGGGCACCAUCAGCCGCUUCAGGAGUAAGCGUAGCUCUUUGGGGUAGCCAACAGGGAAGGGAUACGACUCCAACACUGGCAGAUGUGGAAGGAGACCAGAUGAAUAAGAUGCUACUCACUGUUACCAAAAGCAUCAAAAGACACUACUCAUUUGUUAUUAUAACAAAUAUUUGUUGAGGACCUGCUAGGAGCACUUUGCUGUUGGAAGGAGCAAGAAAAGGAAAAUGGGGGAAAGCAUGGAAGAAUGACCCAUAAGUCAGACAGGAACACUCCACUCAGAAAGUUUACAUUCGUUCAUUCAUCAGUCAUUCAACAAGCGGAAGCCUCUCAGAUGCCAUUCAAGGUGUGGGGGAUACAAAUAGAUACCAGACCUUGCCUUCAAGAGGAUUAGUCUAUUAGGCUAACCAAAUUUUUAAAACUUGGAGCAUAGAGCAAUACAUGUUGAAGAAAAUUUAUGCUCAUAUUGUUACGGAAGUGCAAAAGAAGAACGUUCAAGUCAGCUUAAGUGAAUCAGGGAAGGUUUCUCAAGGUAUUCGUGGCCUGUGCUAAGACUUGCAAGAUGAGUGAAGUUUAAUUAGGGGAAGGGUAUGCUAAGUAGAGGGAUGAGCUCCCAAGGAAUUGCUGUGUGAAACUCCGAAGUCAUUUGUCUUAACUUGGGGAGGAGUCUCUGCUGGUGGAGGCCCGGGUUGCAGAUGGGAGGACGAGCCCCUAAGAAAAAGAAAACGGCAACGUCAGAGCACGAGGAGCUCAUGCAGCAAGUUCAGGAGUUUAGACUUUACCACAACGGCUUGGGGGACCUACAAGGAUUAUGAGGCCAUUUAGUAGGAUU
Molecule: long non-coding RNA, 1775 nt
Organism: Equus caballus (horse)
Lineage: Eukaryota; Metazoa; Chordata; Mammalia; Perissodactyla; Equidae
Source: Ensembl